GGUCUUAUAUUCAUAUUAUAUGAUAAUAGAAUGCAAUUCUGUAGGAGUAAAUUGUUACUAAGGCUU
This 66-nucleotide transfer RNA is filed under the name Validiblatta brunnea (brown cockroach). Its description in RNAcentral is "tRNA-Cys". The record is from RNAcentral. Lineage: Eukaryota; Metazoa; Arthropoda; Insecta; Blattodea; Blattidae.